ACUUUUUUUUUUUUUUUUUUUUUUUUUUUUUUUUUUUUUUUUUUUUUUUUUGCUGUUUGUUCUUCUGAAGAAACGGUCACGA
Molecule: non-coding RNA, 82 nt
Filed under: Alexandrium minutum
Lineage: Eukaryota; Dinophyceae; Gonyaulacales; Pyrocystaceae
Source: RNAcentral